Molecule: long non-coding RNA, 385 nt
Organism: Drosophila willistoni
Lineage: Eukaryota; Metazoa; Arthropoda; Insecta; Diptera; Drosophilidae
Exons: 2
Source: RefSeq, a predicted model, not a curated record
UAAGCAUAUCGAAUUACAAUUCGUUCGUUCAAUUAUCUUACCUGCAACGACUAUAUAAAUCAGCUUUAAUGACAAUUUUAUAAAAUAGUCAGAAUGCAAGCUCCAAUAUCAAUCUUGCUACUAGUUUUGGCCAUUGUUAGUCAGUCAAUGGCUAAUCCAAAUCCUGAAAGAGGAGGUGAUAAAGGCAAAUGGUGUCGUUUAAAUUUGGGCCCAGCCUAUGGUGGAAGAUGCUAGUUAAAGGGAAAAGAUGAAAAUGAAAUGAAGAAAAUUGACCAGACACACACACAAUAACAAAAAUUGUGGAAUAUUUUCUUAAAUAAACUUUAAAACUCAUCAAUUAAAGUGAUUCUUAGACCUAAAUAAUAAAAGUUAUAUCACAAACACA